UGCAUGGAGGGGUGGAAAGUUGCUCCGAAAUUAAGAUCUCUCACAGAGCUGCGACAGCUGCCAGGCAAACACCUUUGCCCUGGUGAGAGGGAGGUAUCAGAGAUUAUUUUCCGAGGGGCAGGUCUACCCAAUUUCAGUCAAUUGCCCAGCUGCUAUAAUUCAGAUUAAUUCCAUUGCAGGUGACAAAAUUGCAGUCAUUUAAAUUACGCAGAGAUCUAGUCUAUCCUUUUUGCAUCUGUCCUCUUUAUGCCAAGCAAAUCUGGAAAAAAAAUAUUAAUAAAAUAUUAACUUGCUACAAAUUUGGGGCGAAUAAAGGGACAAUUUGAAGAUCAGUUGGGGGAUGGGGGGAACAACUGCUACAAUAUUCUUAAGAAAACCUAUAAUUUACUCUUUUUCUCUCCCUCCCCACAGGAAAGUGGUCAGAUAGAAGCACUUUUCUUAAUAAGUGAAUAUGCAUCCUCAUUCUUGCAUGUCUCAUGUUAAAACUUCUAGAAUUUCUUUAGCCAGUCUAGGCUUCAUAUUUAUGAGAUGCUUUGAUUUUUGCCUACCUGCUAAAAAGGAUUAGCUAUGUGACAGUGUGGGUUUUUUAAGCCAUGCCUACUUUUGCUUAUUCUAGUUGUACUGACCAGAUUGUAGUCUUGCAGCUUUACCCAGUGAUAUGUAAUUUCAGUCCAGAAUAAAAUACACGCUGGAGAAACCCAAAGAGAGGGGAUGUUAAAUGGUCAGGUAAAAAAAAUAUUACAAGUGACUUUGAGAUAUUAAUAUAUUAAUAUGGGAUGUGAUUCAGGGCUGUGUGCAAUGCUAUUUGGAGGGUGGGGGAAUUGUUGCACUUGGAUAAUUUUGUGGCACUAUUUUUAUGUGGCAUGUACAGUCUUUGCCUCAGAUUCCCAUUUUCUGCCUGGAUUCCCAUCUCAGUCCCAGAGUUAGGAAAAAUAUACUCUUUGGAUCUAAGUGCUUCUCUGACAUACUGCAAAGCAGGAUUGCAUUCUAGCCUUCUUUACAGUUCCCUCUUUGCCGAAAACAUUGAGGCAUUGAGACGCUGGAGCGUGUCCAGAGAAGAGCAUUGGAGCCCUUGAAGGGUCUAGAGAGCAUGGAUAAAUGAAAGAACUUGAAGCAGGGGGAUAUCCUCUAGAAGACAGAUAUACUUUUGGAAUAUAUCCUUCAAGAAACAACAAUUUAACUUGGUGCUUAGUCUCAUACUACAUUAUGUGGGAGUUUUGCAGAUUUGUGUUGUUGUGCCUGGAAAUAUUAACUACUCCAAUUACAAUAGGAUGUUAAGA
RNAcentral lists this long non-coding RNA (1280 nucleotides) under Parus major (Great Tit). Its description in RNAcentral is "lncRNA (ENSPMJG00000011567.1)". The record is from RNAcentral. Lineage: Eukaryota; Metazoa; Chordata; Aves; Passeriformes; Paridae.